Molecule: ribosomal RNA, 467 nt
Filed under: uncultured bacterium
Lineage: Bacteria
Description: partial 16S ribosomal RNA
Rfam family: Bacterial small subunit ribosomal RNA
Source: RNAcentral
GACGAACGCUGGCGGCGUGCUUAACACAUGCAAGUCGAACGGAAAGGCCUCUUUCGGGGGGUACUCGAGUGGCGAACGGGUGAGUAACACGUGAGUAACCUGCCCUUGACUUUGGGAUAACUUCAGGAAACUGGGGCUAAUACCGGAUAGGAGCUCCUGCUGCAUGGUGGGGGUUGGAAAGUUUCGGCGGUUGGGGAUGGACUCGCGGCUUAUCAGCUUGUCGGUGGGGUAGUGGCUUACCAAGGCUUUGACGGGUAGCCGGCCUGAGAGGGUGACCGGCCACAAUGGGACUGAGAUACGGCCCAGACUCCUACGGGAGGCAGCAGUGGGGAAUAUUGCACAAUGGGUGGAAGCCUGAUGCAGCAACGCCGUGUGCGGGAUGACGGCCUUCGGGUUGUAAACCGCUUUCGCUCAUGACGAAGCUUUGUGUGACGGUAGUGGGUAAAGAAGCACCGGCUAACUACGUG